CGCACAUUGCGCCCUUUGGUAUUCCGAGGGGCAUGCCUGUUCGAGCGUCAUUUCAACCAUCAAGCUCCAGCUUGGUCUUGGACGCGGUCCUGGGACCCGUCCGCAACCAGUUGGCGGUACCGUCCGACCUCAAGCGUAGCAAGACAACCUCGCUUAGGGGCUCGCGGCGGCGCCCGCCAGGAAAACCCACUCUGAAGUUUGACCUCGGAUCAGGUAGGGAUACCCGCUGAACUUAA
RNAcentral lists this unclassified non-coding RNA (236 nucleotides) under fungal sp. RNAcentral describes it as "partial contains 5.8S ribosomal RNA, internal transcribed spacer 2, and large subunit ribosomal RNA". Lineage: Eukaryota; Fungi. The record is from RNAcentral.